CUCUCGGGUGGGAUAAUCCUCAUGUGUUCCUCCCUUCACAGGGCACAUAGGGGAUGAUGGCUGGAAGUCCAGUGAUGUGCGUUUAGCGUCUCCGCAUGAUGGAGACGCAACCCGGAUCACUUCCACCUGAC
Small nucleolar RNA from Peromyscus maniculatus bairdii (prairie deer mouse), 131 nucleotides. RefSeq annotates it as U8 small nucleolar RNA. Lineage: Eukaryota; Metazoa; Chordata; Mammalia; Rodentia; Cricetidae. The record is from RefSeq and is a predicted model, not a curated record.